This 520-nucleotide ribosomal RNA is filed under the name uncultured Scutellospora. RNAcentral describes it as "SSU rRNA". It matches the Rfam family "Eukaryotic small subunit ribosomal RNA", at positions 569 to 1092 of the family's 1831-position model. The record is from RNAcentral. Lineage: Eukaryota; Fungi; Glomeromycota; Glomeromycetes; Diversisporales; Gigasporaceae.
AGCAGCCGCGGUAAUUCCAGCUCCAAUAGCGUAUAUUAAAGUUGUUGCAGUUAAAAAGCUCGUAGUUGAAUUUCGGGAUUCUACCGUCGGUCGGGCUAACAAGUCUGUACUGGUGUGUAGAAUUUCUACCUUCUGGGGAACUAUCAUGUUAUUAAUUUAGCGUGGUAGGAAACCAGGACCUUUACCUUGAAAAAAUUAGAGUGUUCAAAGCAGGCUUACGUCUGAAUACAUUAGCAUGGAAUAAUAGAAUAGGACGGUGGUCCUGUUUUGUUGGUUUCUGAAUCACCGUAAUGAUUAAUAGGGAUAGUUGGGGGCAUUAGUAUUCAAUUGUCAGAGGUGAAAUUCUUGGAUUUAUUGAAGACUAACUUCUGCGAAAGCAUUUGCCAAGGAUGUUUUCAUUAAUCAAGAACGAAAGUUAGGGGAUCGAAGACGAUCAGAUACCGUCGUAGUCUUAACCAUAAACUAUGCCGACUAGGGAUCGGACGAUGUUAAAUUUUAUUGACUCGUUCGGCGCCUUACG